CAGUAGCGUAUAUUAAAGUUGUUGCAGUUAAAAAGCUCGUAGUUGGAUUUCUGGUCGGAAGCUCCUGUCCUCUGAUGAGCGUACAAGUGCGUCCUACCAUCCUUCUGUUAACCUUUAAGGCUUUCGCGGCUUUCUAGGGGCUCAGAUAUUUUACCUUGAGAAAAUUAGAGUGUUUCAGGCAGGCUAGCGCCGGAAUACAUUAGCAUGGAAUAAUGGAAUAGGACUUUUGCCUCUUCUGUUGGUCAUGAGGCUCGAGUAAUGAUUAAUAGGGAUAGUUGGGGGCAUUAGUACUUAACUGUCAGAGGUGAAAUUCUCGGAUUUGUUAAAGACUAACUUAUGCGAAAGCAUUUGCCAAGGAUGUUUUCAUUAA
This 370-nucleotide ribosomal RNA is filed under the name uncultured eukaryote. RNAcentral's name for it is "partial 18S ribosomal RNA". It matches the Rfam family "Eukaryotic small subunit ribosomal RNA", at positions 592 to 976 of the family's 1831-position model. The record is from RNAcentral.